ACGUAGGGGGCGAGCGUUGUCCGGAAUUAAUGGGCGUAAAGGGUGCGUAGGUGGCCUUUUAAGUUGGAUGUGAAAUACCCGGGCUUAACUUGGGGGGUGCAUCUAAUACUGGAGGGCUAGAGUGCAGGAGAGGGAAGGGGAAUUCCUAGUGUAUCGGUGAAAUGCGUAGAUCUUAGGUGGAAAACCAGUGGCGGAGGCUCCUUUCUGGAGUGUAACUGAUACUGUGGCACGAAAUCGUGGGGAGCGAACAG
RNAcentral lists this ribosomal RNA (251 nucleotides) under uncultured prokaryote. Its description in RNAcentral is "partial 16S rRNA". It matches the Rfam family "Bacterial small subunit ribosomal RNA", at positions 525 to 775 of the family's 1533-position model. The record is from RNAcentral.